ACGGAUAUGAUGGAAUUGGUAGACAUAUUAGAUUUAGGUUCUAAUGAUCGUUUAUAAAUCAUGAGGGUUCAAGUCCCUCUAUCCGUA
This 87-nucleotide transfer RNA is filed under the name Gracilaria firma. RNAcentral's name for it is "tRNA-Leu". It matches the Rfam family "tRNA". Rfam says of the family: Transfer RNA (tRNA) molecules are approximately 80 nucleotides in length. Their secondary structure includes four short double-helical elements and three loops (D, anti-codon, and T loops). The record is from RNAcentral. Lineage: Eukaryota; Rhodophyta; Florideophyceae; Gracilariales; Gracilariaceae.